Molecule: ribosomal RNA, 379 nt
Filed under: uncultured bacterium
Lineage: Bacteria
Description: bacterial SSU rRNA
Rfam family: Bacterial small subunit ribosomal RNA
Source: RNAcentral
UAGUGAGUUUGAUCCUGGCUCAGGAUGAACGCUGGCGGUCUGCUUAACACAUGCAAGUCGAACGCAAGUAGAAAUACUUGAGUGGCGGACGGGUGAGUAACGCGUGAGAAUCUGCCUUCUGGUCGGGGACAACCACUGGAAACGGUGGCUAAUACCGGAUAUGCCUAUGGGUGAAAUAUUAAUAGCCUGAAGAGGAGCUCGCGUCAGAUUAGCUAGUUGGUAGGGUAAGAGCCUACCAAGGCGACGAUCUGUAGCUGGUCUGAGAGGAUGAGCAGCCACACUGGGACUGAGACACGGGCCCAGACUCCGUACGGGAGGCAGCAGUGGGGAAUUUCCGCAAUGGGGCGAAAGCCUGACGGAGCAAGACCGCGUGAGGGGA